AGGGGUUUUUGAUCAUGGCUCAGAAUCAACGCUGGCGGCGCGCCUAACACAUGCAAGUCGAGCGAGAAAGUCCGCUUCGGCGGAUGAGUAAAGCGGCGCACGGGUGAGUAACACGUGGGCAACCUACCCUUCAGUGGGGGAUAACCCGGGGAAACCUGGGCUAAUACCGCAUAACAUCCCGCCGACCUCGGUGGGCGGGAUCAAAGGAGCAAUUCGCUAGAGGAGGGGCCCGCGGCCGAUUAGCUUGUUGGUGGGGUGACGGCCCACCAAGGCAAAGAUCGGUAGCCGGUCUGAGAGGACGCACGGCCACACUGGGACUGAAACACGGCCCAGACUCCUACGGGAGGCAGCAGUGGGGAAUCUUGCACAAUGGGGGAAACCCUGAUGCAGCGACGCCGCGUGAGCGAAGAAGCCCUUCGGGGCGUAAAGCUCUUUCGGCGGGGACGAGUCUGACGGUACCCGCAAAAGAAGCCCCGGCUAACUACGUGCCAGCAGCCGCGGUAAUACGUAGGGGCCAGCGUUGUUCUGGAAUUACUGGGCG
Molecule: ribosomal RNA, 541 nt
Filed under: uncultured Acidobacterium sp.
Lineage: Bacteria; Pseudomonadati; Acidobacteriota; Terriglobia; Terriglobales; Acidobacteriaceae
Description: bacterial SSU rRNA
Rfam family: Bacterial small subunit ribosomal RNA
Source: RNAcentral